This 445-nucleotide ribosomal RNA is filed under the name uncultured bacterium. RNAcentral describes it as "SSU rRNA". It matches the Rfam family "Bacterial small subunit ribosomal RNA", at positions 26 to 518 of the family's 1533-position model. The record is from RNAcentral.
AGAACGAACGCUGGCGGCAGGCUUAACACAUGCAAGUCGAGCGCCCCGCAAGGGGAGCGGCAGACGGGUGAGUAACGCGUGGGAACAUACCCUCCGGUUCGGAAUAGCUCAGGGAAACUUGGAUUAAUACCGGAUACGGCCUAGCGGCGAAAGAUUGAUCGCCGGAGGAUUGGCCCGCGUCUGAUUAGCUAGUUGGUGGGGUAAUGGCCCACCAAGGCGACGAUCAGUAGCUGGUCUGAGAGGAUGAUCAGCCACAUUGGGACUGAGACACGGCCCAAACUCCUACGGGAGGCAGCAGUGGGGAAUAUUGGACAAUGGGCGCAAGCCUGAUCCAGCCAUGCCGCGUGAGUGAUGACGGCCUUAGGGUUGUAAAGCUCUUUCGCUAGGGACGAUAAUGACGGUACCUAGACAAGAACGCCCCGGCUAACUUCGCGCCAGCAGCCGC